GACGAACGCUGGCGGCGUGCUUAACACAUGCAAGUCGAACGGAAAGGCCCUGCUUUUGUGGGGUGCUCGAGUGGCGAACGGGUGAGUAACACGUGAGUAACCUGCCCUUGACUUUGGGAUAACUUCAGGAAACUGGGGCUAAUACCGGAUAGGAGCUCCUGCUGCAUGGUGGGGGUUGGAAAGUUUCGGCGGUUGGGGAUGGACUCGCGGCUUAUCAGCUUGUUGGUGGGGUAGUGGCUUACCAAGGCUUUGACGGGUAGCCGGCCUGAGAGGGUGACCGGCCACAUGGGGACUGAGAUACGGCCCAGACUCCUACGGGAGGCAGCAGUGGGGAAUAUUGCACAAUGGGCGGAAGCCUGAUGCAGCAACGCCGCGUGCGGGAUGACGGCCUUCGGGUUGUAAACCGCUUUCGCCUGUGACGAAGCGUGAGUGACGGUAAUGGGUAAAGAAGCGCCGGCUAACUACGUG
Molecule: ribosomal RNA, 468 nt
Filed under: uncultured bacterium
Lineage: Bacteria
Description: partial 16S ribosomal RNA
Rfam family: Bacterial small subunit ribosomal RNA
Source: RNAcentral